RNAcentral lists this transfer RNA (72 nucleotides) under Candidatus Tagabacteria bacterium RIFCSPLOWO2_01_FULL_42_9. Its description in RNAcentral is "tRNA-Glu". It matches the Rfam family "tRNA". From Rfam's summary of the family: Transfer RNA (tRNA) molecules are approximately 80 nucleotides in length. Their secondary structure includes four short double-helical elements and three loops (D, anti-codon, and T loops). The record is from RNAcentral. Lineage: Bacteria; Candidatus Tagaibacteriota.
GGCGCAUUCGUCUAGUGGUUAGGACGGUUGGUUCUCAACCAACAAACAGGAGUUCAAUUCUCCUAUGCGCUG